AUUUUUCUUGCCCAGAAGUGAGAAACACCAAUAGGUUAAAAGUACUUAAAGUACUUAAAAACGGUACAAGCAAUAAAAGCACAUUAGGAGACGGGUGGGUUACGGAGAAAAUAGCCAUUCACGCGAGGGAUGCGUUUAGGUGCCUCGCGAAAUGAGGCUUUCAGAGAAUUUGCGGUCUUCAAGGGGCUUUGCAAGGCCGAAAUCCUUCUCUCGAAGCAAAAGCAGCGCAGGAGGUUAUCAUAUAAUUAACGUUCCAGAGUUGCAAUGAGAAACAGAGACUAGGGCUUCUGCGCUUUUAGUAAGCAGAAGAAAUUUCAAAAGAUGGCUGCACCGCAACUCCCUCUUCUAUUAAAAGCGCAGGAAGCAGCCCUGAAGGCUUUGCCAUUUGGCAAAGAUAUUUCAACAACAGCUCUGCCCAGAAAAGAAAUCUCGACAAAUGUCCUAACUAAUGUUAUGCCUUACGGUCGGGGCUCUUCUCAUAGACACGCCCCCUUUCUAUUCGGCCCAAUGGCAUAGUGGGUUGAUACCUGCAGCAACUGGGAGUCUGAGAUUGGUCUGAGUCUGAGAUGAGAUUCCAAAAGCGCGAUUUGAGUUGGGGCUGUUGCUAGGCGACGGAGGUUUCCAGCCAGCUUCACAACAGUUACAGUCCUCGUUCUGGGGAUCCGGGGCGGAGGAGACGCGAAGCUUCUUCUUCCUCUUUUCUACUGUCCAUUCUCGUUUAAUUCAGAGGACUGGGCAGUGCAGUCAUGAGCAGUGAUCAGCCAAAGCCACCCAACAAAGGGAAAUUAGAGAAGACUACAACAAAGUUUUUACCACAGAUUGAUAAGAUAAACUGCAAACCGCUAUGGCAUCAGAAUCCUCCUUCAUUCCAGCUACGGGGAGACAGGGACUCUUAUAUUCCAGAGGAAUUUGUGGUAAAAAAUGAACUGACACCUGGUAAGAAUAUCAUGGAUGUUUGACUAGAAUUGAUCGCCCUUUAUUUGAUCACAGCUUGUAAAAUGUCAUUAGAUAGGAUACUUUUUGUCCUCUG
This 1030-nucleotide long non-coding RNA is filed under the name Salvator merianae (Argentine black and white tegu). RNAcentral's name for it is "lncRNA (ENSSMRG00000020014.1)". Lineage: Eukaryota; Metazoa; Chordata; Lepidosauria; Squamata; Teiidae. The record is from RNAcentral.